GGGGAUUUAGCUCAGCAGCAUAAGCACCUGCCUUGCAAGCAGGCAACAUAAGCACCUGCCUUGCAAGUAGGCAGUCAUGAGUUCAAUCCCCA
Molecule: transfer RNA, 92 nt
Filed under: Cavia porcellus (domestic guinea pig)
Lineage: Eukaryota; Metazoa; Chordata; Mammalia; Rodentia; Caviidae
Source: Rfam by way of RNAcentral